AACGAACGCUGGCGGCAGGCCUAACACAUGCAAGUCGAGCGGACCCUUCGGGGUUAGCGGCGGACGGGUGAGUAACGCGUGGGAAUAUGCCCUUCUCUACGGAAUAGUCCUGGGAAACUGGGGGUAAUACCGUAUACGCCCUUUGGGGGAAAGAUUUAUCGGGGAAGGAUUAGCCCGCGUUGGAUUAGGUAGUUGGUGGGGUAAUGGCCUACCAAGCCGACGAUCCAUAGCUGGUUUGAGAGGAUGAUUAGCCACACUGGGACUGAGACACGGCCCAGACUCCUACGGGAGGCAGCAGUGGGGAAUCUUAGACAAUGGGGGCAACCCUGAUCUAGCCAUGCCGCGUGAGUGAUGAAGGCCUUAGGGUUGUAAAGCUCUUUCAGCUGGGAAGAUAAUGACGGUACCAGCAGAAGAAGCCCCGGCUAACUCCGUG
RNAcentral lists this ribosomal RNA (433 nucleotides) under uncultured bacterium. RNAcentral's name for it is "partial 16S ribosomal RNA". It matches the Rfam family "Bacterial small subunit ribosomal RNA", at positions 29 to 507 of the family's 1533-position model. The record is from RNAcentral.